Molecule: small nucleolar RNA, 79 nt
Filed under: Sciurus vulgaris (Eurasian red squirrel)
Lineage: Eukaryota; Metazoa; Chordata; Mammalia; Rodentia; Sciuridae
Description: Small nucleolar RNA U3 (ENSSVLG00005013320.1)
Rfam family: Small nucleolar RNA U3 (bases 1-41)
About the family: Small nucleolar RNAs (snoRNAs) are involved in the processing and modification of rRNA in the nucleolus.
Source: Rfam by way of RNAcentral
AAGACUAUACUUUCAGGGAUCAUUUCUAUAGUUUGUUACUAACUAUAUAGCAUAUUUUAGAGUGCAUAUUGCAUAAAAU